Molecule: long non-coding RNA, 1371 nt
Organism: Cygnus olor (mute swan)
Lineage: Eukaryota; Metazoa; Chordata; Aves; Anseriformes; Anatidae
Exons: 7
Source: RefSeq, a predicted model, not a curated record
ACAUUUGAGCUGUCAUAGAUUCAGCUGUACUGAAGUCAGGGAGCUGCAGCUCCUAUCAAAACUCUCUUGAGGUUCUGUGUCUGUCAUUUUAGACAUUCAGGCAAAGAUGAGAUAAAGAAUUACAAGGAAUUACUAUCACUUCUGCAAGUAUUAUUGGUACUCCACUCAUCUUCUCGAAGGACUACAGGAUCAAAAUGGUCCCAGCUGAUCAUUACCAAACCUUACAGUUCAGUUCAUCUUAGCAGCAUCUGGAGAGACUUGCAUGGAGUGGAUGUGAUGUGAUUCCUUGAAGGAGAUAAGAACAAAAGAAUCCUGAUGUACAAUGUGAAACUGAAUGACUGUUUCCCGGAGUUAAUCCUACUGACUGCAUAACAAACAAUACAAUGUUUUGCAGCGUGUAAUCAGGAUUUUAUCAAGAAACAAUAUGACACCAGAAAGGAGGGAGAAAGAAGACACUAGGAAGGGCAUGGCUCACUUCUCACUCACACUAGCCAGAAAAGGAGGUUCCGAAAUAACCUAAAGAGGCUGUGCAGCCUGGCUGGAAGAGAGAAGAGAAGUUCAGCAAGUUCAGUGAGAGCGGCUGUUCCUGUGAGGUUUCCAGCUGAAGGGCCUUAACCAGGAUGACACUAAUUCUGCAGAUCUCAUUCUCCUCAUUUGUGAAACUCAGAGAAGUUUCAGAUCAAUUUCCUCAAACCAACAUCUGGACUUGGACAUCAGAAUUUUGGAAACAAUGCAUGAGUUUUACUAUGCCUGUCUUGGUCAUGACAGCAGCACUCAGUAGAAGAUGGAAUUUUGGCUUUCAUGGUAGCCAAAGAAUCGUGGUGUCUCUACAUAACUGCUGAUCCUCUUUCUUUCCAUGGAGCCACUCUGAACUCUAUACCGUCAUUCUAGCCAUCCAAUCUCACUUUCCAAAGCACUUCACUUUUGUCGAUUAGUUGUUGUUUUAAAGUGAUACUGUGAAAAGAUGGGAAAAGAGAAUACAUUCAAGAGAGGCUUUUGGUAGUAAUUUUUUACAUAGUCAGCGCAGUGCUUUUCUUCACAGACCAUUCCAUUUUUAUUUAUUUAUUUAUUUAUUUAUUUUCUAGAGAAUAAAACAUUCCUCAGGACGUAUUUAUCUGAGGAUCACUACUUUCCUAAAAUAUAGCUUCUCUUCUGAUUGUAGUAUCAUAGUCAGUAUAGAAGUCUACUAACUACUGGAAAUUUUUUAAUUUCUUCUUUUUUAAAUAUAAUAGCUUUUGAAUUAUAAACAAUUUAGAAUAAGUAAAGUAUGAUUUACUACUUAGUGACUGAGUGCAGUUGUACCUGUAAGCAACAGAAUGUGCAGUAAUCAUAAAAAUGCUCACAAAAUAUAAUCAGCUCACCAAAAAAAAA